Molecule: ribosomal RNA, 503 nt
Filed under: uncultured bacterium
Lineage: Bacteria
Description: bacterial SSU rRNA
Rfam family: Bacterial small subunit ribosomal RNA
Source: RNAcentral
UCAGGAUGAACGCUAGCUACAGGCUUAACACAUGCAAGUCGAGGGCAGCAUUAUCGAAACUGCUUGAUAGAUGGCGACCGGCGCACGGGUGAGUAACGCGUAUCCAACCUUCCCAUCACUCAGGGAUAGCCCGCCGAAAGGCGAAUUAAUACCUGAUGGUCUCCUUUGCAGACAUCUAACGAGGAGUAAAGAUUCAUUGGUGAUGGAUGGGGAUGCGUCUGAUUAGGUAGUAGGCGGGGUAACGGCCCACCUAGCCGACGAUCAGUAGGGGUUCUGAGAGGAAGGUCCCCCACAUUGGAACUGAGACACGGUCCAAACUCCUACGGGAGGCAGCAGUGAGGAAUAUUGGUCAAUGGACGGAAGUCUGAACCAGCCAAGUAGCGUGCAAGGAUGACGGCCCUAUGGGUUGUAAACUGCUUUUGUGCGGGAAUAAAGUAUGGGACGUGUCCCAUUUUGCAUGUACCGCACGAAUAAGGACCGGCUAAUUCCGUGCCAGCAGCGGC